Molecule: ribosomal RNA, 197 nt
Filed under: Clostridiales bacterium
Lineage: Bacteria; Bacillati; Bacillota; Clostridia; Eubacteriales
Description: partial 16S ribosomal RNA
Rfam family: Bacterial small subunit ribosomal RNA
Source: RNAcentral
AGUAAUCGCGAAUCAGAAUGUCGCGGUGAAUACGUUCCCGGGCCUUGUACACACCGCCCGUCACACCAUGGGAGUUGGAAGCACCCGAAGCCUGUGACCUAACCGUAAGGGAGGAGCAGUCGAAGGUGAAGCCAGUGACUGGGGUGAAGUCGUAACAAGGUAGCCGUAUCGGAAGGUGCGGCUGGAUCACCUCCUUU